CGAUUGUUAAGUACCAUUGUAGGUUGUCCG
RNAcentral lists this non-coding RNA (30 nucleotides) under Cricetulus griseus (Chinese hamster). The record is from RNAcentral. Lineage: Eukaryota; Metazoa; Chordata; Mammalia; Rodentia; Cricetidae.